UGUUCACUGGCCUUCACCUCUUCUCUGCUCAGGGUUCUCGGGAGCCAGGGGAGAUGCUGCCACGGAAGCUGAAACG
Small nucleolar RNA from Microtus ochrogaster (prairie vole), 76 nucleotides. Ensembl annotates it as predicted gene, 22394. NCBI's taxonomy places the organism in Eukaryota, Metazoa, Chordata, Mammalia, Rodentia, Cricetidae. The record is from Ensembl.